AAGUCUGACGGACAACGCCGCGUGAGUGAUGAAGGUUUUCGGAUCGUAAAGCUCUGUUGUUAGGGAAGAACAAGUACCGUUCGAAUAGGGCGGUACCUUGACGGUACCUAACCAGAAAGCCACGGCUAACUACGUGCCAGCAGCCGCGGUAAUACGUAGGUGGCAAGCGUUGUCCGGAAUUAUUGGGCGUAAAGGGCUCGCAGGCGGUUUCUUAAGUCUGAUGUGAAAGCCCCCGGCUCAACCGGGGAGGGUCAUUGGAAACUGGGGAACUUGAGUGCAGAAGAGGAGAGUGGAAUUCCACGUGUAGCGGUGAAAUGCGUAGAGAUGUGGAGGAACACCAGUGGCGAAGGCGACUCUCUGGUCUGUAACUGACGCUUAGGAGCGAAAGCGUGGGGAGCGAACAGGAUAG
RNAcentral lists this ribosomal RNA (409 nucleotides) under Bacillus sp. NASAb12. RNAcentral's name for it is "bacterial SSU rRNA". It matches the Rfam family "Bacterial small subunit ribosomal RNA", at positions 379 to 780 of the family's 1533-position model. The record is from RNAcentral. Lineage: Bacteria; Bacillati; Bacillota; Bacilli; Caryophanales; Bacillaceae.